RNAcentral lists this ribosomal RNA (616 nucleotides) under uncultured bacterium. Its description in RNAcentral is "bacterial SSU rRNA". The stretch from base 1 to 522 matches the Rfam family "Bacterial small subunit ribosomal RNA", at positions 338 to 873 of the family's 1533-position model. The record is from RNAcentral.
CCUACGGGAGGCAGCAGUGAGGAAUUUUCCGCAAUGGGCGAAAGCCUGACGGAGCAAUACCGCGUGAGGGAUGAAGGAUUUUGGUCUGUAAACCUCUUUCCUCAAGAAAGAAGUUCUGACGGUACUUGAGGAAUAAGCAUCGGCUAACUCCGUGCCAGCAGCCGCGGUAAUACGGGGGAUGCAAGCGUUAUCCGGAAUGAUUGGGCGUAAAGCGCCUGUAGGUUGUUUAUUAAGUCCGUUGUUAAAGCCUAGGGCUCAACCCUAGAAAAGCAAUGGAGACUAGUAGACUAGAGUAUGGCAGGGGUAGAGGGAAUUUCUAGUGUAGCGGUGAAAUGCGUAGAUAUUAGAAAGAACACCGGUGGCGAAAGCGCUCUACUGGACCAUUACUGACACUCAGAGGCGAAAGCUAGGGUAGCAAAAGGGACUAGAUACCCCUGUAGUCCUAGCCGUAAACGAUGGAUACUAGAUGUUGUGUCAUAUAGUACUAGUACGUACGUACUACGUACGUUAACGUAUACCGUCCGUCGGGUAGGUACGUCGUCGCGAGGUAGGAACGUACAAACGAAAGUUAGUACGGACGUGAGACGNGCCGACGGACGACGACGAGGGAGGUAGG